CAAGCGGUGGAGCAUGUGGUUUAAUUCGACGCAACGCGAAGAACCUUACCUGGGCUCGAAAUGUAGUGGAAUCCGGCAGAAACGUCGGCGUCUAGCAAUAGACCGCUAUAUAGGUGCUACAUGGCUGUCGUCAGCUCGUGUCGUGAGAUGUUGGGUUAAGUCCCGCAACGAGCGCAACCCUUAUCUUCAGUUGCUACCAUUUAGUUGAGCACUCUGACGAAACCGCCUCGGAUAACGGGGAGGAAGGUGGGGAUGACGUCAAGUCCUCAUGGCCUUUAUGUCCAGGGCUACACACGUGCUACAAUGGCCGGUACAAACCGCUGCAACCCCGCGAGGGUGAGCUAAUCGGAAAAAGCCGGCCUCAGUUCGGAUUGGAGUCUGCAACUCGACUCCAUGAAGCUGGAAUCGCUAGUAAUCGUGGAUCAGCAUGCCACGGUGAAUACGUUCCCGGGGCCUUGUACACACC
This 466-nucleotide ribosomal RNA is filed under the name uncultured bacterium. RNAcentral describes it as "bacterial SSU rRNA". It matches the Rfam family "Bacterial small subunit ribosomal RNA", at positions 926 to 1391 of the family's 1533-position model. The record is from RNAcentral.